UACGUAGGGUGCAAGCGUUGUCCGGAAUUAUUGGGCGUAAAGAGCUCGUAGGCGGUCUGUCGCGUCGGAUGUGAAAACCCAGGGCUCAACCCUGGGCCUGCAUUCGAUACGGGCAGACUAGAGUUCGGUAGGGGAGACUGGAAUUCCUGGUGUAGCGGUGAAAUGCGCAGAUAUCAGGAGGAACACCGGUGGCGAAGGCGGCUCUCUGGGACGGUACUGACGCUGAGGAGCGAAAGCGUGGGGAGCGAACAGG
RNAcentral lists this ribosomal RNA (253 nucleotides) under uncultured bacterium. RNAcentral's name for it is "partial 16S ribosomal RNA". It matches the Rfam family "Bacterial small subunit ribosomal RNA", at positions 524 to 776 of the family's 1533-position model. The record is from RNAcentral.